Molecule: ribosomal RNA, 497 nt
Filed under: uncultured bacterium
Lineage: Bacteria
Description: partial 16S ribosomal RNA
Rfam family: Bacterial small subunit ribosomal RNA
Source: RNAcentral
GAUGAACGCUGGCGGCGUGCCUAAUACAUGCAAGUCGAGCGAACGGACGAGAAGCUUGCUUCUCUGAUGUUAGCGGCGGACGGGUGAGUAACACGUGGAUAACCUACCUAUAAGACUGGGAUAACUUCGGGAAACCGGAGCUAAUACCGGAUAAUAUUUUGAACCGCAUGGUUCAAAAGUGUAAGACGGUCUUGCUGUCUCUUAUAGAUGGAUCCGCGCUGCAUUAGCUAGUUGGUAAGGUAACGGCUUACCAAGGCAACGAUGCAUAGCCGACCUGAGCGGGUGAUCGGCCACACUGGAACUGGGGCACGGUCCAGACUCCUACGGGAGGCAGCGGUAGGGAAUCUUCCGCAAUGGGCGAAAGCCUGACGGAGCAACGCCGCGUGAGUGAUGAAGGUCUUCGGAUCGUAAAACUCUGUUAUUAGGGAAGAACAUAUGUGUAAGUAACUGUGCGCAUCUUGACGGUACCUAAUCAGAAAGCCACGGCUAACUCCGUG